RNAcentral lists this unclassified non-coding RNA (513 nucleotides) under uncultured Glomus. Its description in RNAcentral is "SSU rRNA". It matches the Rfam family "Eukaryotic small subunit ribosomal RNA", at positions 569 to 1083 of the family's 1831-position model. Lineage: Eukaryota; Fungi; Glomeromycota; Glomeromycetes; Glomerales; Glomeraceae. The record is from RNAcentral.
AGCAGCCGCGGUAAUUCCAGCUCCAAUAGCGUAUAUUAAAGUUGUUGCAGUUAAAAGCUCGUAGUUGAAUUUCGGAAUCAAUACGUCGGUCGUGCUUCGGUACGUACUGGCGUAAUUGAUUUCUCCCUUCUGACGAACCAUGAUGUCAUUAACUUGGUGUCAUGGGAAAUCAGGACUGUUACUUUGAAAAAAUUAGAGUGUUUAAAGCAGGCUCACGCUUGAAUACAUUAGCAUGGAAUAAUGAAAUAGGACGUUCGAUCCUAUUUUGUUGGUUUUUAGGAUCAACGUAAUGAUUAAUAGGGAUAGUUGGGGGCAUUAGUAUUCAAUUGUCAGAGGUGAAAUUCUUGGAUUUAUUGAAGACUAACUACUGCGAAAGCAUUUUGCCAAGGAUGUUUUCAUUAAUCAAGAACGAAAGUUAGGGGAUCGAAGACGAUCAGAUACCGUCGUAGUCUUAACCAUAAACUAUGCCGACUAGGGAUCGGAUGAUGUUAAUUUUUUUAAUGACUCAUUCGG